This 207-nucleotide ribosomal RNA is filed under the name Triticum aestivum (bread wheat). Its description in RNAcentral is "partial small subunit ribosomal RNA". Lineage: Eukaryota; Viridiplantae; Streptophyta; Magnoliopsida; Poales; Poaceae. The record is from RNAcentral.
AUGCUUGUCUUGAGGAGAACACCACCUGGGACUUGGUGGCUGACAUUGAGAAGGUCAUGUUCGUCGGAUUGUAGGGCCAGUCUGACUCACCAACCAACCUCGCUUGCUUGCUCUGUUUAUUGUUCUACACCUAUUACUGAAUUCCAGUCGCUAUAUAUGAUUGCUUACCUGUAUAUAUGUACCACUCUGUGUGUAGCAUUUUUCUAA